Molecule: ribosomal RNA, 697 nt
Filed under: uncultured Staphylococcus sp.
Lineage: Bacteria; Bacillati; Bacillota; Bacilli; Caryophanales; Staphylococcaceae
Description: bacterial SSU rRNA
Rfam family: Bacterial small subunit ribosomal RNA
Source: RNAcentral
AGUCGAGCGAACGGACGAGAAGCUUGCUUCUCUGAUGUUAGCGGCGGACGGGUGAGUAACACGUGGAUAACCUACCUAUAAGACCGGGAUAACUUCGGGAAACCGGAGCUAAUACCGGAUAAUAUUUUGAACCGCAUGGUUCAAAAGUGAAAGACGGUCUUGCUGUCACUUAUAGAUGGAUCCGCGCUGCAUUAGCUAGUUGGUAAGGUAACGGCUUACCAAGGCAACGAUGCAUAGCCGACCUGAGAGGGUGAUCGGCCACACUGGAACUGAGACACGGUCCAGACUCCUACGGGAGGCAGCAGUAGGGAAUCUUCCGCAAUGGGCGAAAGCCUGACGGAGCAACGCCGCGUGAGUGAUGAAGGUCUUCGGAUCGUAAAACUCUGUUAUUAGGGAAGAACAUAUGUGUAAGUAACUGUGCACAUCUUGACGGUACCUAAUCAGAAAGCCACGGCUAACUACGUGCCAGCAGCCGCGGUAAUACGUAGGUGGCAAGCGUUAUCCGGAAUUAUUGGGCGUAAAGCGCGCAUAGGCGGUUUUUUAGGUCUGAUGUGAAAGCCCACGGCUCAACCGUGGAGGGUCAUUGGAAACUGGAAAACUUGAGUGCAGAAGAGGAAAGUGGAAUUCCAUGUGUAGCGGUGAAAUGCGCAGAGAUAUGGAGGAACACCAGUGGCGAAGGCGACUUUCUGGUCUGUAA